Myripristis murdjan (pinecone soldierfish) is the source of this 788-nucleotide long non-coding RNA. RefSeq lists it as uncharacterized. The record is from RefSeq and is a predicted model, not a curated record. Lineage: Eukaryota; Metazoa; Chordata; Actinopteri; Holocentriformes; Holocentridae. The transcript has 3 exons.
GAGGAGCCAGAGGAGGAGCAUCCUAGGUCCGUCUGCAGAGAAUGUGUAUGUGUCGAUGCGUGGUAACCGUGGCAACAAAGAAGACAGUAAGAGGGAAGGAGGAGAGGAGGAAAUAGAGUCUCCUUACGUGAUCUGUGCCUCUGGCGUUUCCACGGCAACAGCAGUCAGCAGACCGGCGUCCGAGGACGUGGACGGGAUCUACAUGUGACGGCCAAUCAGAGCGGUCCUGUUGUCACGGCGCCGUGACCUCUGACCUCCACUGCCGGGACACACAACCCACACACCCUGUCCCUGAUUCUGAUUGGCUGCUCCUGGUCCAGAGGCCACGCCCCCCGCGAGGCCACGGGCCGGCGGGGACGGUGCACGGUGAGGGACAAAAUUUAGACUACUGAGGAGUCAAGGACCGAUCCGGCCAAUGCGAGGCCGGCGCUGGUGUCUGAGAGGCCGGCACCGGCUAUUCAUUUGACUGGUAGCCUAGCAACCUGCCGUGGUAACCUAGCAACCGUCUGGCUGAGCCGCUGGAUUGGCUCAUAUGCUCCACCUGACCAGCCCGUGUGUUCUGCUUCCAGCUGAGUUUGUUUUUGAGUUGACACCUGAGGAGCACCUGAGGGGACACGACCCCUUUAUCUCUUUUUAUUUAUAUAUAAAUUCAGACAUUAAAUCCAGACCAACCUUAUCAGAUUGUACAUAUUUCAUAUCAAACAAUAUAUGUAUUCCAAUCGUGUCAUUUUGUGCAUAUUUCAUGUGUUCUGUUCUUAAUGGUCAAACAUCGACACUUUUAAAUGCAU